CAAUAGCGUAUAUUAAAGUUGUUGCAGUUAAAAAGCUCGUAGUUGGAUUUCGGGGCAGCCUGGCUGGUCCGCCGCAAGGCGAGUACUGGUCAGCCGCCCUUCCUCUCGAAAGCCCCGACUGCUCUUUAUUGCAGUGGUCGGGUAGUUCGGGACGUUUACUUUGAAAAAAUUAGAGUGUUCAAGGCAGGCCUACGCCUGAAUACAUUAGCAUGGAAUAAUGGAAGAGGACCUCGGUCCUAUUUUGUUGGUUUCCAGGACCGAAGUAAUGAUUAAGAGGGACAGUUGGGGGCAUUCGUAUUUAAUUGUCAGAGGUGAAAUUCUCGGAUUUAUGAAAGACGAACAACUGCGAAAGCAUUUGCCUAGGAUGUUUUCAUUAA
Molecule: ribosomal RNA, 377 nt
Filed under: uncultured eukaryote
Lineage: Eukaryota
Description: partial 18S ribosomal RNA
Rfam family: Eukaryotic small subunit ribosomal RNA
Source: RNAcentral